UUUCUAUCAUGAAUCAAACCAUCUCACUAUGACUGGUAAUGAAAACACAUGAGCACCCGAGAGAC
This 65-nucleotide small nucleolar RNA is filed under the name Castor canadensis (American beaver). Lineage: Eukaryota; Metazoa; Chordata; Mammalia; Rodentia; Castoridae. The record is from RNAcentral.